UGGCGGCAUGNCUUACACAUGCACCCUCGAACGGCAGCGGGGGGAAAGCUUGCUUUCCUGCCGGCGAGUGGCGAACGGGUGAGUAAUACAUCGGAACGUGCCCUGUAGUGGGGGAUAACUAGUCGAAAGAUUAGCUAAUACCGCAUACGACCUGAGGGUGAAAGUGGGGGACCGCAAGGCCUCAUGCUAUAGGAGCGGCCGAUGUCUGAUUAGC
RNAcentral lists this ribosomal RNA (214 nucleotides) under uncultured bacterium. RNAcentral's name for it is "partial 16S ribosomal RNA". It matches the Rfam family "Bacterial small subunit ribosomal RNA", at positions 37 to 245 of the family's 1533-position model. The record is from RNAcentral.